This 444-nucleotide ribosomal RNA is filed under the name uncultured bacterium. RNAcentral's name for it is "bacterial SSU rRNA". It matches the Rfam family "Bacterial small subunit ribosomal RNA", at positions 28 to 505 of the family's 1533-position model. The record is from RNAcentral.
GAUGAACGCUGGCGGCGUGGAUAAGGCAUGCAAGUCGAACGACCCUUGUGUUUACAUAAGGGGAGUGGCAAACGGGGUAGUAACAGGUAGGUACAUACACAUGAGUCAGGGAUAACGCUGGGAAACCAGUGCUAAUACCUGAUAGUUCUCUACGGAGUAAAGAUUUAUCGCUCAUGAAAUGGCCUGCUCGGUAUCAGCUAGUUGGUAGUGUAAAGGACUACCAAGGCAGUGACGCCUAGGGGAGGUGAGAGCCUGACCCCCACCAUUGGAACUGAGACACGGUCCAAACUCCUACGGGAGGCUGCAGUCGAGAAUCUUCCGCAAUGCACGAAAGUGUGACGGAGCGACGCCGCGUGGUAGAUGAAGUCCUUCGGGAUGUAAAUACCUUUUAUACGCGAAGAAGUAUAUUGACAUUAACGUAUGAAUAAGAGGUUCCUAAACUCG